AAUUCUCAACCCCUCUCGAUUUGCUUCGAGCGGGUGCUUGGAUGUUGGGGGCUGCCGGAGACACUGGAUUUCGUCCAGGACUCGGGCUCCUCUUAAAUGAAUCGGCUCGCGGUCGACUUUCGACUUUGCAUGACAAGGCCUUUGGCGUGAUAAUGAUCGCCGUUCGCCGAAGUGCAAGACAGAAUGGUCCCGUGCCUCUAAUGCGUCGACGCCUCUAGGGGCGUCUUCCUCAUUGAC
RNAcentral lists this unclassified non-coding RNA (237 nucleotides) under uncultured Suillus. RNAcentral's name for it is "sequence contains ITS2". Lineage: Eukaryota; Fungi; Basidiomycota; Agaricomycetes; Boletales; Suillaceae. The record is from RNAcentral.